Ruditapes philippinarum (Manila clam) is the source of this 803-nucleotide long non-coding RNA. RefSeq lists it as uncharacterized. The transcript is spliced from 3 exons. Lineage: Eukaryota; Metazoa; Mollusca; Bivalvia; Venerida; Veneridae. The record is from RefSeq and is a predicted model, not a curated record.
AUCAAUAACUGUUUGGCAAGAUACAGGAAUCCGUACAAUAUUCUUGUGAAACCAUUUGCAUUUAUUGUGAAAACUGCAACAUGUAAUGACAUUCGUCUUAUUAUGUGAAACGGAACUUGUGAACAAAUACUAAUAAAAUAUUUGGAUAAUGUUUUAAAAUGGAUUAACAAAAAGAUAAUGUUAAGUGUUGAGCAAAUUGCAUUGAAUGAUGUCUCCUAGAAAGCCUACAGGAAGCAAUUUCAUAUUGGUGUUGUAAUUGAUACAAACAAGAAUGGAUUCUAUAGGAUGAAUAUCUCUGUACUAGACGGAGUAAUUAGUUUCACAGCACCUCAAAUAUCAGCCUUGUGUACAUGCGACAAAAGUCUCAAUUCGCUAUUCCCGCUUCAACAAUAAAUGAGAUCGUGACGUGAAGAAAGACAGCUGCUUUGACAGUCGGAGAAACACUGGCAAUAUUACGGCAGCUAUACAUGUGAGGAAAAUGGAAGAAGCGUUCAAUUUAAGUGUCAGUUAUGAUAGGAAGUCAUUUUAAAACUAGUUGAUGGAUGUAUAAACCCUUACACGAUGCCGUGUAAUAUGGAUAUUUUAUAUAUUUGUGUUUUCGGAAUAACAUAUUAUAUCACUCCAAUUUGUGGAAAAACCUCCAACACGGUUACAAUAGGGGUGAUUGUGGAUACUAUUGAUGACCGGUCUGCGUCAAUAAAUCAAUCUAUAGAAUUGGCAAUGACAGCAACAAAUAAUACCAAAUUUGUCAAAAUGAAUCCUAUCAGGAAUAAGACUGAUCUGAGAGACAGUUUUCGGCUGCG